GAGUUUGAUCCAAGUCCAGUUUUUGCAUUUUUCUCCAUUCUUGGCCAUGUGUACAGUAUCUCAAGGAUCCUGGACACAGAAAACGAGUCCGUGGAAUUGUUUUUGUUGCUCUGCAUCUGGAAAAUCAUGUGUGCAUUAUUAGUGUGCAUUAUUAGUGAGCUUUUUUGCAUUUGAGCCAAAUAACAAAAGAAGAGAAAUAACUCCAAAUGAUUCAUAAUUCCCUCAGUCAUCUGAAGAGAUAUUGCAGUAAUACUGGUCAUACUAAAAAGCAACAACAUUGCAGAUUGUUAAAUUACCUUCAAAAAUGACAUCACUGUGGUCUAGUUGCACCACAAAAUCACAGAAAACAGGUAAUGUUCUUACAUGCAAGGCAUUAUUUUAAAGUGUUAGCUUGCACAGAUCCUACCCCAGAUGUGAUAACUGCAAUAUCAAUUAAAGCUUUGCUUGCAUGCAUGGGCUGCCAUGGAUUCAACUGGCACAGAAAGAAUUCCACUGGAAAAAGAAUUAUCACUGGAAAAAAAAUUCUUUAGCAAUUAUCAAUAGUUUUUCACACUUCCUUGAAUUCUGAUUACUGUAUAACUGUCGACUGUGCAACCAAUGAAUGUAUAAAUUCACUCAAGUCAAAAGCAAUUUUAGGAUAAGGCAAUCAUGGUUUGGACUCUUGUGCAUUCACAUUUAUUGUUCAUUGCAUAUACAUCUCACCUCUGCUCUGAUGAUCUCCAAUUAGUGUACACAUGCUUCUUUCUUUUCUCAUUGUCCUCAGGUUUAGAGACGUCAGCCAAUGAGUUUAGUCCUUCAGUGAGAACCAAGGAAGGAAAGAGCACUUUAAAAUACCAUAUUUACUUGAGUCUAAUGUGCAAUUCAAUUUUCAAAACCCUGAUAAUAAAAAAAGUAUUUCUUGGUGAAAGUAAUGUGCAGAGGUAAAAAAUGUACUCUGUAAUUUGCCCAAAAAAAAAAAAAAAAGGUGUGCAUUACAGUUGCUGCCUGGUUAUGUCUCCUUCUUUCAAAACAAAAGUGUUAGACCAUCAAAGCUUCAAGCAAUGGAAAAAAAACAAAACCUUAGGGUGCAUCUAUGCUGUAGAAUGAAUCCACCUAAACUGCCCUGGCUCACUGUUAUGAAUUCACGUAGUUUUACAAGAUCUUGAGCUUUCUCUGUUAAAUAAUGCUGAUGGUCUCACAAAAGUACAAAUUCUAGGAUUGCAUAGCACUGAGAAGUGGCAAUUAAAUUUGAGCUGAUGUCCCUCAAAUAGGAGCUUCAAGGUUUGAACCCAGACUAAGAACAAUCCAUAGUGUCAUAUUAAUGCCAUAUUAUACCACAAUGCCAUAUUAUGCAAAUCUAAUGUGCAUCUAAGAAUCUAGGACUGACGAGGAUCUUUGCAGUUUUAGAGUGACUGCAUACAAAAUUCACAUGGGUUGUUUAACUAAGAAAGCAGAAUUUUAUGUACAGGAAACGGCUUUUUCUUCACAGAUUACUGGACUUGGAUCUUGGAGAUCUGCAUUCAAGGUUCCUUGUGGCUGGUGAUCAAGAGUUUGUGAGCAGUUUAAACGUAUGUCUCUUCUGCAUGAAAAAAAGGUUGAUUUUGUUAGUGUUGUUGCUGCUGCUAUUGUAUGAGCAUAAAAGUCAUUUGGUGGCUACUCUUCCUUAGUCUGUCACUUUAUGUGAUCUUGACCCACCUACAAAAUUGUAUUGUUACAGAAAUAUAUCAUUGUCAAUUCUGACCGGCACCACACAACUAUCAAGCAAAUGUUUAAUAAUACCUAGUUGUAGGUUUCAUACAUCUCAAACUUGUACUUUCUGAAUGUUCUGCUUAUUCUCAAAAGUUAUGAUACCUAAAACACAUUUUGAAAUGCAUAUUGUUUGAGAACACACAUUUCAAAUGGAUUUUUGAAAAACCACUGGUGUGGAAUGGGGACUGGAUAGACAUAAAAGUGAGCAUGUAUGAAAGUAUCACAGGACUGAAUGUUUGCCCAUCUGUACUGUACACAUAUUAGCCUUUGGUUAGUCCAAAGUAGAAUAGACUGAUUUAAUGGGAUUUACAUUUGUAUUUACUCUCUAUUCAACAAUUGAUUUCAUGGUUCUUCUUUAGGUGGGACUAACCAAUAGUAUCUGAGCCAUUACAGAUCAAAGGUGUUGAACAUAUUUUCUAUUUCUAAUACUUUCUGAUUUGAGCAGCCACUAAUUUUACUCACAUCACCAAAAUAUUUGAUACUGUUAACCUCAGAAUUUCCUGACUUCUGUACUUUGAACAUCAUCUUGUGGCUAAAGUUAUGCUUGAUAAAGAAUAAGUGGAAAUACCCUUUUUUAAAUGAAGAUAGGAAAUGCUUUUCAAAAUGUACAAAGCAGCCACAGAAAUUGUGCCUCAUUUCUUUUCUUACUGAAAUAAAUGGCAGCUAUUCUACUUGUUUCUUCUUUGAUGUAGCCAUUAUACCUAUAUCUUCCUGUGGGUGUUCUGAACAAAAGAGACAAAACUGGAAUAACAAAACAAAAUGUACACAUUCAAGAUAUCUUGUGAUUGAGUAUCAGGAUUUGGGAGCAGAAGCUGUGUAUCCUUUCAAGGCAAGAAAAUAAGGUUGAUUUGGUUACCAUUGUUGUUGGUUUGUGUCUUUGCUUCUUUUUGCCUGGGUAGUUCAUAAAAGGCCCUAAUAUUUGUCAUUAACUUUCAGAGAAAAUACAAAGAGAGAAAGGGGAAAGAGUGUCAUCUAGUGUCAGAAUUCAGUAUUACAAGACAAUGUCAGAGGCCUUUGUAAGACAAAAGACACCAAAAAGCUAUUCAUUCUGUGCCUUAAGGUAGAAUAUGACCUCUUCAGUUCGAGGAAAUGAGAGUCCUUUUAUAUGAUUUUUUUCUCCCUUUAAAGCAAAAAGAGGCAAAAAGUUACAUAAUACGACAGGAACGAGCAAACUGAAGUCUUCCAGACAGUGAUGGAUCCCAUUGCGCUAUCCAAUAAAGCUAUUGGCCAGGAAUAAUAGAAAUUUGUCCAUAUCUGUGGACGGUAGACCCAGUUUUAUUGAGGCAGAAAACUAUGGUGUUGCAUGGAAAUGUCUGCAAUAGGCACAACUCAUUGGGAAGUUUUCAGGCACUUAGCCUGAAUGAACACGAACAUAUUUUCCAAGUCAAGGCAAGUAAUAAUCCCCCUAUUUUCUGGUCAGACUUCAACUGGAGUACCGUGUUCAAUUGUAAGAGCCACAUUUUGAGAAGGAUAUUGACAAGCUGGAGUGUGUUCAGAAGGAUGAUAAGAAGUAUGGAGAACAAAACUUAAGAGGAGAGCUUGAAUAAACUAGGCAUGUUCUACUUGGUGAAGAGAAGAGUAAGAGGUGGCAUGAUCAUACCCUUUAAAUAUCUCAAGAAAGAGGGAGCAGGCUUGUUCUCUGUCAUCUCAGAAGGGAGAACUGGGUCGAAAGUAGAUUUUGAAGGAAUACUAGAAGUAAAUGUUUGAUAGCAAAAGCAAUUUGAUGAUGGAAUCAAUUGCUUAGACAAGUGGUGGGGUCUCCUUCCUUGGCUGUCUUCAAAAGGUAUCUGGAAAGCUUCUUCCUUGAGAUGCUCUGGCUGGAGAUCUUGCAUUGAGCAAAUGAUUGGAUUUAGUGGUUCAUGAGGACCCUUCCAAUUCUUUGAUUUUAUGAUUCUAUUACUAUGAGCUAUAUUCAAUGACACUCGUCGCUAUUUAUAAUGUACAGAGCAUCAACAGGUCAGCUUUCUAACAUUUUCUGCUUGCUGUUGUUUCUAAUCAAUGAAAGGUUGCUGAAGAAACAAUAGUUACAACAAUACACUGUAAUAGUCUGUGUUUUUGGAAGAUUGGUAAGGAGAGUAAAUGGGAUCUUUGUAGAAAAAGAAGAUAAUCCCUUUGACUCAUGGGUUGAUUCAAUAAGGGAAAAUACAGCUCUAACUUUGCAAGACCUGAACAGGGCUAGGGCUGUUCAUGAUUAGUUCUCUUUAAUGUAUCUCAUUCAGACAUGAAAGCUCAUAACUACAUAUAGUGAUUGGGUUUCUAACUCAUGGUUUUACUGCAUAUCACCUUUGUCUCACCUUCUCUCCAUUGUAUAUGGAUGGAGAAAUUAAUGGCUAGGCAUUUCAAUCCUGAGCAUCACAGCCUCUCCAAUUUUCUGGAUUCAUAGAUUUAACACUGCAUGGUCUCAGUCUAAAGGAUAAUACUAUCAUCCUCUGACUUUAGACUUUUAAGACUUAAUUACUAAGGGUUCUGGGCCAGGGUGAAUUGAUAUGUAUUUUGGUUUCUUUUAUGUAGACUUGACCCCUAUUACCAGCUACUGUUUUUUAGUUCAUAAAUUCCACUUCUGAUCAGGGAAACACUACCCUUUUAUUGAUAUACACCUUUAUUUAGUUAUUUUGUAUUCCACUUUUCUACCCUGUGGAACUCUAAGUUGGAUACCUCUGCUUUCUCCCUCCAGCAUCUCAACAUCUGAAUUUCAAGGGAUCUGGUAAACCUGGAAAUAUAUCUACAUAAGGAGCAAGGUGAUCAGGGAAUAUCAGAGCACCAGCUAGCACAAAAACCUACAUUUUGUCUCACUCAAUAAACCAAAAUGUUCCACACUGUC
Long non-coding RNA from Anolis carolinensis (green anole), 4549 nucleotides. RefSeq lists it as uncharacterized. The transcript is spliced from 2 exons. Lineage: Eukaryota; Metazoa; Chordata; Lepidosauria; Squamata; Anolidae. The record is from RefSeq and is a predicted model, not a curated record.